UGCUCGUCUAGAUGCCAGAGGAGGCAGGUGUGAAUAGAGUGGGGGCGGGCAAGAUGCUAGACGGGGAAAAUGUUCAACAUAAAUAUGUUUACAAUUUUCUUACAAUGUGCUAUACUUCAAAGGAGAUGAGGCUUUCAGAGCAUCUGGGGUCUUCCCUUUGAGAGAGAGAACAGGCUUGGUUUUUGGAGCACUAUGGAUUAUACCCCUUCCACUUAAAUGGCCACUUUCCUUUCACUCAGAUUCAUCCCUCGUGAAGAUGGAGAAGACAAGUUCACGUCCUGGUUCUCAAGGCUUGUGAGUGGGCAUAGAUUUGCCAGAAAAAGCAAGUUAGGUGCCGUGCUAGGGGUGUGUGUGGUGAAGCCAGAGAAUACGCAGGAAGCUUGUGUCGACUUCGUGUUCAGCCUUCACUCUUCUCCUUGGGCCAAGCUCGUGAUGACUUUGUCUCUCCCUUUCUGGUCCUGGCGACGUUACCAUCUUUCAUCUCUCCGGUGUGCAGGCCCUGCUCUCCAGAAUAGAGCUGAGGACCAGUUCUCCUGGGCCCUGCCGUGACGAAUAGCCGACGCGGUCACGCUGUGUGACAUCGGAUGCUGACGGAGAUCUGCCCGAAGGCCCCGGGGCUUCUGAUGUGUGGAUGACAGCUCGCGUCGGUCAGGGUGCUCGUGUCACCGCGUCAGCUUUGGGUUGCCGAGUGCCAGGGGUCUUCUGCUCUCUGUUUCUGCCACAGCAAUGUGAUAAGUGCGGUUCCGUGUGCAGAGAUAAGGGACCAUGCUCGAUAAGGCUUCCACUGCCGUCGGUGCUCUAAUCAGACCACUAGGAAACAGCAGCUGACUGAUGAGUUUCCGGUACUUUCUCCUUCCCUCUGACGAGAGCCAGGCGGCUCUUCAGGGGACAGCAAGCAGCCAGGCGCCGUGGGCGGUGGGGUCUCCACGGCCUGAAGCACAGAGCACAGCUUUCACAGCCACUAGAAUUUCUGUACUGAGGGUUCCCCUAUAACCCACAGUGGCUCCCCAAAUUGUUCAGAGAUGGGCCAGGGCUUCAAGGACAUGAAACGGGAAAAAACAAACACACCCAAAGUAGCACUGGUAACUUAGGAUGGAAAUAAUAUUUUAGUAUAUUUCUAAGAAAUUGGCAUAAAUUUUAGAACUUGUGGAAUCAAUUCAUAAUUAAUAAUUAACUGAUAUUUUACAUUAAU
This 1192-nucleotide long non-coding RNA is filed under the name Vulpes vulpes (red fox). RNAcentral describes it as "lncRNA (ENSVVUG00000002692.1)". The record is from RNAcentral. Lineage: Eukaryota; Metazoa; Chordata; Mammalia; Carnivora; Canidae.